GAUGAACGCUGGCGGCGUGCCUAAUACAUGCAAGUCGAGCGAACAGACGAGGAGCUUGCUCCUCUGACGUUAGCGGCGGACGGGUGAGUAACACGUGGAUAACCUACCUAUAAGACUGGGAUAACUUCGGGAAACCGGAGCUAAUACCGGAUAAUAUAUUGAACCGCAUGGUUCAAUAGUGAAAGACGGUUUUGCUGUCACUUAUAGAUGGAUUCGCGCCGCAUUAGCUAGUUGGUAAGGUAACGGCUUACCAAGGCAACGAUUCGUAGCCGACCUGAGAGGGUGAUCGGCCACACUGGAACUGAGACACGGUCCAGACUCCUACGGGAGGCAGCAGUAGGGAAUCUUCCGCAAUGGGCGAAAGCCUGACGGAGCAACGCCGCGUGAGUGAUGAAGGUCUUCGGAUCGUAAAACUCUGUUAUUAGGGAAGAACAAAUGUGUAAGUAACUAUGCACGUCUUGACGGUACCUAAUCAGAAAGCCACGGCUAACUACGUG
Molecule: ribosomal RNA, 497 nt
Filed under: uncultured bacterium
Lineage: Bacteria
Description: partial 16S ribosomal RNA
Rfam family: Bacterial small subunit ribosomal RNA
Source: RNAcentral